ACGAACGCUGGCGGCGUGCUUAACACCUGCAAGUCGAACGGAAAGGCCCUGCUUUUGUGGGGUGCUCGAGUGGCGAACGGGUGAGUAACACGUGAGUAACCUGCCCUUGACUUUGGGAUAACUUCAGGAAACUGGGGCUAAUACCGGAUAGGAGCUCCUGCUGCAUGGUGGGGGUUGGAAAGUUUCGGCGGUUGGGGAUGGACUCGCGGCUUAUCAGCUUGUUGGUGGGGUAGUGGCUUACCAAGGCUUUGACGGGUAGCCGGCCUGAGAGGGUGACCGGCCACAUUGGGACUGAGAUACGGCCCAGACUCCUACGGGAGGCAGGAGGGGGGAAUAUUGCACAAUGGGCGGAAGCCGGAUGCAGCAACGCCGCGUGCGGGAGGACGGCCUUCGGGUUGUAAACCGAUUUCGCCUGUGACGAAGCGUGAGUGACGGUAAUGGGGAAAGAAGCACCGGCUAACUACGU
RNAcentral lists this ribosomal RNA (466 nucleotides) under uncultured bacterium. RNAcentral's name for it is "partial 16S ribosomal RNA". It matches the Rfam family "Bacterial small subunit ribosomal RNA", at positions 29 to 506 of the family's 1533-position model. The record is from RNAcentral.